UGGCACUUUUUUUAGAAUCAUUUUAAUUAGAUAAUAGGUUUAAAGAUGUAAAUAAAACUGUGCAUGCUGUAAAUUUAGACUUUUUAGUGUAACUGAACACUAUCAAUUAUGGAAAUUAUAUUAUGAUUUUAUUUUACUAAAUUUUUCUUUUUGUGUAUAUUUUUUGUUUUAUUUUGUAUUUUUAUAAUUUUAUUGCCUUAUUCUUUAAUUGUAGAGAAUUGUUAUUUCGAGUUUUUGUUUCAUAUACCUUAAAAGUCUUCGGUUGAUUUUUGUUUGUUUGCUUUUUCCAAUUAUAAUGUACAGUUUGACCGUUUUUUUUGGAGAUCAAACUACAAAUAUCAUCAGAUAGAAAAGGUUAAACUCCAAGAAUAGAGUGAAUACUUGUGUUAAAGAAAACUGAUUUAGCCAAUAAUAUAGUGAGAUAUUAUAAUAUUAGAAGGUAUGAAAACUCUUCUCUCUUGUCCUACGCUGGACAUAAUUAAUUUGUUGUCAAUUGAUUAUAUAUUUGUGAUAACUCGAAAUACAUCUUUAUGUCUUCUUUACAUCAUCCUUAAUUGGUUUACGGUUCGACCAUUUCUAAUAUACUAAGAGUAACAUAAUAUUAGAUGUUGAUUAUCUCCUUCCAAUUAUGAAUGCACAGAAUGACAAAAAUUCAAGGUGGGACCACUUUACAAAUUUGUCUUCAUAUCUAUAUAGAGUUAGUUUAUAGAUUACUCUAUCUGUUUCAAAAUGUAAUAAGUUUUAAUUAAAAUUUGUAAUAUUUAAAAGUUAUUACUCUAGAAAACUGUCAUUUAAUAUAUAUAUAAAUUUAAUCAAUUACACAGUAAUUUACAUAAUAGCCAUAAAAUAUCCAAUAAAUAUAAAGUUACAUUGAAAUAUAAAAACAAUUUAUAUAGUGAAACAAAAAAUACUUUUAAAUCAUUAUAUUAUAAAACAAAGGAAAUAUUCAAAUUAUAUUGAAACAUUAGAAUAGUAAAAAUCAGAAAAGCUGAAAUCUCAACGUCGAUCAUUUACGUCGGCCAUGCCUUAGACCAUCUCCAAUAUAUUCCUCUAUUAUUUUUUUCUAAAAUAGAGGAAUUACAUAUUAGAGAUGGAUUUGUCUGUCAUGUAUUUUCUAUUUUCUCUCCUAAAAAGGAAUAUUCUUGAUAUAUUAUUUUAUAAGUUUACAAAUAAUAUUUUUUAUUUGAGAAAGUUGAAAACCAGCCCAAUUUAUUUUAGUAUUUUAUAAAAUAUGAUAUUAUUUACACUAAAUAUUUCUUUACAUACUAUUAUGUAAAUAAAUAAUAUAAUUAUAUUUAUAUAAAUAAUAUAUUUCACUAAAAAAAUAUUUUCGGUUAUAAUUGUUUAAGUAAAAAAGGUAAAGGAUCAUUUUGUAAAAAUAAAUCGAGGAGGUCACAUGGCAAAGAUAUAGUUUUUCAUAGGCCAAUUAUUUUCGCCUACGUGGACACUCUAUCUGAUGCUUAUAUCCUCUAUUUUUAAUUAAAAUUUGUAAUAUUUAAAAGUUAUUACUUUAGAAAACUGUCAUUUAAUAUAUAAAUUUAAUCAAUUACACAGUAAUUUACAUAAUUUAAUUGGCUACACAAUAUCCAAUAAGUAUAAAGUUACAUUGAAAUAUAAAAAUAAUUUAUAUAGUAAAACAAAAAAUACUUUUAAACCAUUAUAUUAUAAAGCAAAAAGGGAAUAUUCAAAUUAUAUUGAAACAUUAGAAUAGUAAGAAUCAUAAAAACUGAAAUCUUAAUGUCGAUCAUUUACGUCGGCCAUGCCUUAGACCAUCUCCAAUGUAUUCCUCUAACUUUUUUUUUUCUAAAAUAAAGGAAUUUCAUAAUUGAAGAGAUAGAUUUGUCUCUGAUGUAUUUUUCUAUUUUCUCUCCUGAAAAAGAAUAUUCUUGAUAUAUUCUUUUCUAAGUUUAUAAAUAAUACUUUUUAUUUGUGAAAGUUGAAAAUCAACCCAAUUUAUUUUAGUAUUUUAUAAAAUUAUGAUACUAUUUACACUAAAUAUUUCUUUACAAACUAUUAUGUAAAUAAAAACUAUAAUUAUAUUUAUAUAAAUAAUAUAUUUCACUAAAAAACUAUUUUCGGUUACAAUUGUUUAAGUAAAUAGUUAAAGGAUCAUUUUGUAAAAACAAAUAGAGAGGUGACAUGACAAAAAUAUAGUUUUUCAUUGGCCGAUUAUAUUCGUCUACGUGGACACUCUAUCUAAGUCUUAUAUCCUCAUUUUAUUACUUGUUUGAUCCCUAUAAUUCUUUUAAGAACUUCACUGUAUGCAUAAACAAAUUUUUUAUAAUAUAUCAUUAUUUUUUAAAUAAUUGUUUAAUGCUUAUACAAAGAUUAUAUUUCAAAUAUAAGUAUAAAUAAAAGUUUUUUAAACAGUUCAAUUUAAAUUUAAGUUCAAUAAUGAUAUAUAUAAAACAUAACAAGCAAUAACAUAAAGAAUACAUAAAUUGUACCGAUUUUUAAAAAAAAUAAUAUAGUACAGUUUUUAAAAACCUCACAUGAAAUAAACUUAUCAUAAUAUUGAUUAGAAUGACUGAAAAAUCGUUGACACACGAAAAAAAAAGAAUGACUGAAUAAUCAAUUAAACCAUCUCCAUAUUGUCUAAGAUCACUAGGCCAAUUGAAGUAGAUGCAAAUAAGUUUCUUGACUUUGAUGUUGUGUAAUCCUUUUAUGUAAAAUCUGUGUUUGUUUAAUAUGAACAGAUGUAUGAUUCUUUAAGUAACCGAAUAACCGUUUGAUGUUUAAAAAAAACCCAAAUAUAUGAAACUACGGUCUAACCCUUUUAUGUAAAAUUUGUGUUUGUUGAACAUGAAUAGAUAUAUGAAUCUUUGGUCUUGAGUCAAAUCUCAAAAUAAACAUUGUUCUCCACUUUAAGUUAUUCUAUUUUGAAUCUCUAAUUGGUGUUUCUAUUAUGUAGUUGUCUUCUUUAAUUGUUUCAAAAAUUGUACAGUGAUAUUCGAUAAAUUAAUUAUGAUAAACUAAAAAAUUCUUCAGAUUUGGAGUUGGGCCGGUUUUAAGUGUAUUACAAUUUGAUAAGAUAAUAAAAUUUUGAAACACCUUUAAAAAUACAUGGUCACACUAUAAUCAUAAAUUAAUAAUUAUUAUGUGAAGUUUAUAUAAAUAUAUAAACAAAGUAUUAUACUUUUUAUAUUUAUUCCCAAUGAAAUCGCUUUUUAACUAUUUUUAACAUUCGUAUGUUAUUUUAUUAGACUACAUCUAAAACCUUUUAUAAAUUGUAUAUUACAUAUCUCGAUACAACAAAUAAUCUUAAAUAAAGAAGAUAAAUUUGAAUAUAUUACAUAUAGUGAGUAUACAACACCGUAAAAGCAGUUAUUCUUUUUAUUUUACAUAAAUAUAUAUAUUUACAAAUAUAUCAAUUAAAAAAAUCUUUAAAUUAAUAAUUCGUUAAAUUAAUAAAAUAUUAAAAAAUAACGUUAUUAAUUUAUGGAGUUUUUAUUGUAUGUUUCCCUUAAAAGAUCUUGAUCACUAUUGAUGUUUGAUUGUUACCUUUUCUUUUUAGCAUGUAGAAAAGACGUGGAAUGUGUUCUAUGAAUUCUCCAGUUACUCUUGUGAAAGUAUAUGUUUUUGUUUUUGGAAAAUAUAAAUGUGAUUCCUAAAUGUAUGUUUUACACAACAUGAUAACUAAAGAUGAGAUUGACCUGAUACACCAAUCUCUAUUAUUAAAAUAGAAGUAUGGUUAAUACCUAUAACCCUAAGUUUUCAUAUUUUUUUACAAUGGUAUGCUACUGAAGUAAUUAAAUGAACAUAUCUUUAAGUAAUCAUUAUUGUCUUUUCCUAUUCACUAAACCAUUUCCUAAAUUAAAUUUAGCUUAAUUUUCGUAUUUAAUAUAUUUCCUAAAACAAAUUAGCUAGUUUUUGGGAAUAUUCAAAUUUAAAAUCGAUCUUAACAAUAUUAAACUUGGAUAAUGUUACCAUUAAUUAUUUUUGAACAAAAUUCAAGUUUAAAUUGGAUAUUAAACAAUAUGAUGAAUAUUUCAAAAAUAUAUGUUUAACUUAUCAUUAAUUAUUUUGAACAAUAAAAUCUAUAUAUGCAAAGAUUUAAAUAUUUUUAAACUACUUAUAGAACAAUAUGAAAUAUUUGUAACUGAAUAUUAUUUUUAAUAUAAUUAUAUCUCGCCUAAGAUUAUAUAUAUUUCAAAAUUUUCUAAAACAUAUGUUUAACCAUUCGGUUACUAUUAAUUUUUUUCAAAAAAAAAAUUAAUAUUAAAAUUUAAAUAUCUUUGAAUUACUUAUGAAACACUGUUAUGUUUAUAACCAAAUAUUCUUUUCUAAUGUAUCUAAAUCUCCACCAUAUUCCCCAUAUUUGAUCAAAAUAUUUAAAUUCUUAUUACAUUUGAAAAACAAUUUCAUGUUAAAAGAAAUAUUACUCAAACAUAUCAAUAGAUCAAUAUU
Brassica rapa (field mustard) is the source of this 4407-nucleotide long non-coding RNA. RefSeq lists it as uncharacterized. NCBI's taxonomy places the organism in Eukaryota, Viridiplantae, Streptophyta, Magnoliopsida, Brassicales, Brassicaceae. The record is from RefSeq and is a predicted model, not a curated record.